Molecule: ribosomal RNA, 371 nt
Filed under: uncultured organism
Description: bacterial SSU rRNA
Rfam family: Bacterial small subunit ribosomal RNA
Source: RNAcentral
UGCCUAAUGCAUGCAAGUCGCACGCACACCUUUCGGGGUGUGAGUGGCGGACGGCUGAGGAACACGUGGGUAUCUGCCUCGCAGUGGGGGACAACGGGCCGAAAGGUCCGCUAAUCCCGCAUACGUUCUCGCAAGAGAAGAAAGCCUUCGGGCGCUGGGAGAGGAGCCUGCGGCCCAUCAGAUAGUUGGCGGGGUAAUGGCCCACCAAGUCGGUGACGGGUCCCUGGUCUGAGAGGACGACCAGGCAGACUGGGACUGAGACACGGCCCAGACUCCUACGGGAGGCAGCAGCAAGGAAUUUUCGGCAAUGGGCGCAAGCCUGACCGAGCAACGUCGCGUGGAGGAAGACGGCUUUCGGGUUGUCAAACUGC